Molecule: ribosomal RNA, 389 nt
Filed under: uncultured Synechocystis sp.
Lineage: Bacteria; Bacillati; Cyanobacteriota; Cyanophyceae; Synechococcales; Merismopediaceae
Description: bacterial SSU rRNA
Rfam family: Bacterial small subunit ribosomal RNA
Source: RNAcentral
GCGGACGGGUGAGUAACGCGUGAGAAUCUGGCUUCAGGUCGGGGACAACAGUGGGAAACCGCUGCUAAUACCGAAUGUGCCUUAGGGUGAAAGAUUUAUCGUCGAUAGAUUGGCUCGCGUCAGAUUAGCUAGUUGGUGAGGUAAAGGCUCACCAAGGCGACGAUCUGUAACUGGUCUGAGAGGAUGACCAGUCACACUGGAACUGAGACACGGUCCAGACUCCUACGGGAGGCAGCAGUGGGGAAUUUUCCGCAAUGGGCGAAAGCCUGACGGAGCAAUACCGCGUGUGGGAGGACGCUUUUUGGAGUGUAAACCACUUUUAUUAGGGAAGAAGAUCUGACGGUACCUAAUGAAUCAGCAUCGGCUAACUCCGUGCCAGCAGCCGCGGU